CGUCUCCUAGUAACUUCGUUUUUGUCUUCAUUCAUCUUCUAACUGCGGACACGGUAAACAAGAAAAUCACGUAACAAAAGCGAAAGGAGCUGAACAAUAGCAACGCAACACUGAACUUUUAGAGGCCUAAUACAAGUCAAUGGGAAAUCAUAGAACCAGAAGAAGUUCAACGCGAUUCCACCGACACACAAACAAAAUGGCUUCCCGGAAGAGCCUCAUGAGACGUCUGCAGAAAGUGACCCGGAAACUGAUUGGUGCUGCCCUCUUUUACGGUCUUCUGCUCGCAAUCGGAAUGGUGCAGUCAAAGAUGGUACUAUGCCGACUCUGUAGAACCUACCUGACUCAAAUUACUCCCCUUGAAUUUUUGGUCUUAUUUGGCGCGUUAUCAUUCCUUUUUUGGCUGCUGAAUUGUCUGCUCUUGCAGUUUUGCACACGUGUGUUAUUUUCAGGUAAAAAGGCGAGAAAGUCAAGUUCAAUGCUCUAUCCAAAUUACAAAGAGCCAAAAUAUACAAGAUCCGGAACAAUAUAUGGUUAUAUGUAAUAUACUUUAAUAAAAUCAGAGAGAAAGGAAA
Molecule: long non-coding RNA, 572 nt
Organism: Mercenaria mercenaria
Lineage: Eukaryota; Metazoa; Mollusca; Bivalvia; Venerida; Veneridae
Exons: 2
Source: RefSeq, a predicted model, not a curated record